Molecule: non-coding RNA, 953 nt
Filed under: Cobitis delicata (Ajime loach)
Lineage: Eukaryota; Metazoa; Chordata; Actinopteri; Cypriniformes; Cobitidae
Description: Niwaella delicata partial 12S ribosomal RNA
Rfam family: Bacterial small subunit ribosomal RNA
Source: RNAcentral
AGGCUUGGUCCUGACUUUAACAUCAGCUUUAGCCCAAUUUACACAUGCAAGUCUCCGCAGACCCGUGAGAAUGCCCUCAAUCCCCCGCCCGGGGACGAGGAGCAGGUAUCAGGCACAAAUUUUAGCCCAAGACGCCUUGCCAUGCCACACCCCCAAGGGAACUCAGCAGUGAUAAAUAUUAAGCCAUAAGUGAAAGCUUGACUUAGUUAGAGCUAACAGGGCCGGUAAAACUCGUGCCAGCCACCGCGGUUAUACGAGAGGCCCUAGUUGAUGAACACGGCGUAAAGGGUGGUUAAGGUUUAGUUCAAAUAAAGCCAAAAGACCUCUUGGCUGUCAUACGCCCCUGAGUGCCCGAAGCCCAUAUACGAAGGUAGCUUUAAUAUUAGCCCACCUGACCCCACGAAAGCUGAGAAACAAACUGGGAUUAGAUACCCCACUAUGCUCAGCCAUAAACCUAGACGUUACUUCACACAAACGUCCGCCAGGGUACUACGAGCAUUAGCUUAAAACCCAAAGGACUUGGCGGUGCCUUAGACCCCCCUAGAGGAGCCUGUUCUAGAACCGAUAACCCCCGUUAAACCUCACCACUUCUGGUCAACCCCGCCUAUAUACCGCCGUCGUCAGCUUACCCUAUGAAGGACUAACAGUAAGCAAAGUGAAUAUACUUCAAAACGUCAGGUCGAGGUGUAGCGAACGAAGUGGGAAGAAAUGGGCUACAUUUUCUUUAUAAAAAACAAGAAUAUUACGAACAACACUAUGAAAUUAGUGCUCGAAGGAGGAUUUAGUAGUAAAAAGGAAAUAGAGUGUCCUUUUGAACCCGGCUCUGAGGCGCGUACACACCGCCCGUCACUCUCCCCGCUAAAUAGCGACAACUGUUAUUAACAUUUAAGCACAAGUAAGGGGAGGCAAGUCGUAACAUGGUAAGUGUACCGGAAGGUGCACUUGGAUCAAAU